This is a non-coding RNA of Cricetulus griseus (Chinese hamster), 1222 nucleotides long. The record is from RefSeq and is a predicted model, not a curated record. Lineage: Eukaryota; Metazoa; Chordata; Mammalia; Rodentia; Cricetidae.
CAGUGGCAGGAUGUGAGCCACCAGCAAGAGAGGGCACCAGCAAAAGGCAUCUUCUAUAAGAUAAGGGUUAUAAAAUAUAUAGAUUUAUGAUAAUUAAGACUGAGCUAACAGAUGAGAAAUCCUAGUCAUUGGCCCAGCAGCUUUGUACCUAAUACAAGUCUCUCUAUGCAUUAAUUGGGGCCCUAACUCGGGCAGGUGGCUGGCAUAAAGCGCAUACAUGGCGGUGGGGCUUGGUGGCUUUUGGCAGAAAGAUUUAUCCUAACACUGCUGGAAAGAACUAUAAAGGUUGAUGAGAAAGAAAAGGUAUCAAUGGUCCUACCUUACACUGAACCCUACAUGCUAUGAGACCCACCUACCAGGUAGCUGCGCAAGGUGUAGGCAGAUCCACGAUUCCUGGACAAAGAUCUGCCUGUGAUGAACUCUCCUUGCUUCUUGGGCUCUUCAGUGCAGAGGUCAAUGACAACACAAGAGCUCACAAAAAAGGCUCUGCACUCCCGGCCACAGAGCAUCCUCUUCCUGUACCCAACACAUGCCAGGACCAUACACUUCACCAGGUCUACCAGCAGAAUAUUAUCACUGGACUGCUGGGGCAGAAACUUUCCCCACGUGUGAGGAAGCCACUAUUCCAGAAGAGUUAGCAGCGGUCUUCUCAAGACAAGAAAACAUGUGAAACACUUUGACAAGAAAGAUGGAGAUUUGGCAUGAGGAGAGUCACAAACUCAGCGCAGAUCACACAGACAGGUAAACAAAAGGAGCUCCAGCAUGUUCUUGGGAGGACAGGAUUCCCUCCUGGAGAAGGAACAAUGGCUUCCUGGGAUUCCGUGGAUGAAUGAGUGAUGGCAAGUGAGCAGGAAGACCAACGACUGUCUCUGUUCCUUUUCCUGGGUUUGCUUCUCUCACGGUGGCCCAUGAACAUGUACAACUGCUAUCCAAUGUCACUGGUGACUAUGUUCAAGAAGUGCCAGGUGGCAGGGCUGGAGAAAUGGCUCAGGGGUUAAGAACGGUUGAUGAUCUUCCAAAGAACCUGAGUUCAAUUCCCAGCACCCCACACUUGAACAACUUCCUAUAAUUGGAGCUCCAGGGAAUCCAACAAUAUCUUUAGGCUUUCAUGGACACCAGCACAUGCACAUAAACAAAAACAAAUUUUUUCCAAAGAAUUUGUGCUGGGGAGAUGGUUCACUGGUUAAGAACACUUGCUGCUCUUGCAAAAGAUUGGGGUUUG